UACGGAGGGGGCAAGCGUUAUUCGGAAUUAUUGGGCGUAAAGGGCGCGUAGGCGGCUAGAUGUGUCAAAGGUGAAAUCCCUCGGCUCAACUGAGGAACUGCCUUUGAAACUGUCUGGCUUGAGGCCGGGAGAGGGUAGCGGAAUUCCCAGUGUAGCGGUGAAAUGCGUAGAUAUUGGGGGGAACACCAGUGGCGAAGGCGGCUACCUGGACCGGUUCUGACGCUGAGGCGCGAAAGCGUGGGUAGCAAACAGG
RNAcentral lists this ribosomal RNA (253 nucleotides) under uncultured bacterium. Its description in RNAcentral is "partial 16S ribosomal RNA". It matches the Rfam family "Bacterial small subunit ribosomal RNA", at positions 524 to 776 of the family's 1533-position model. The record is from RNAcentral.